UACGUAGGGAGCAAGCGUUGUCCGGAUUUACUGGGUGUAAAGGGUGCGUAGGCGGCCCUGCAAGUCAGAAGUGAAAUCCAUGGGCUUAACCCGUGAACUGCUUUUGAAACUGUAGGGCUUGAGUGAAGUAGAGGUAGGCGGAAUUCCCGGUGUAGCGGUGAAAUGCGUAGAGAUCGGGAGGAACACCAGUGGCGAAGGCGGUCUGCUGGGCUUUAACUGACGCUGAAGCACGAAAGCGUGGGUAGCAAACAGG
Molecule: ribosomal RNA, 253 nt
Filed under: uncultured bacterium
Lineage: Bacteria
Description: partial 16S ribosomal RNA
Rfam family: Bacterial small subunit ribosomal RNA
Source: RNAcentral